RNAcentral lists this unclassified non-coding RNA (292 nucleotides) under plant metagenome. RNAcentral's name for it is "partial contains small subunit ribosomal RNA, internal transcribed spacer 1, and 5.8S ribosomal RNA". The stretch from base 244 to 292 matches the Rfam family "5.8S ribosomal RNA", at positions 1 to 49 of the family's 154-position model. The record is from RNAcentral.
UUUCCGUAGGUGAACCUGCGGAAGGAUCAUUAAUGAGUUGUCAUGGGGUUCGAUGCUGGCAGCCAGUUUUUGGAUGCAUGUGCUUGCCCUAACAAUCAUCUUCUUCCAAACACCUGUGCACAUUUUUGAGGGAGUCUUGAGUUGGUUGCCGCUCUUGGGUGAUUUUCUCACAUUCCCUUAAAUCAUUAUACGCUAUUAACAAUGUUGAACGUGCUCUGUGCCGCAAGGCCAUUAAUAUAAUACAACUUUUAACAACGGAUCUCUUGUCUCUCACAUCGAUGAAGAACGCAGC